GCCGGGGUGGCGGAAUUGGUAGACGCGGCGGAUUCAAAAUCCGCUUCUAGAAAUAGAGUGGGGGUUCGAGUCCCCCCCUCGGCA
Molecule: transfer RNA, 84 nt
Filed under: Phycisphaerae bacterium
Lineage: Bacteria; Pseudomonadati; Planctomycetota; Phycisphaerae
Also listed under: 3 other names
Description: tRNA-Leu
Rfam family: tRNA
About the family: Transfer RNA (tRNA) molecules are approximately 80 nucleotides in length. Their secondary structure includes four short double-helical elements and three loops (D, anti-codon, and T loops).
Source: RNAcentral